RNAcentral lists this ribosomal RNA (468 nucleotides) under uncultured bacterium. RNAcentral's name for it is "partial 16S ribosomal RNA". It matches the Rfam family "Bacterial small subunit ribosomal RNA", at positions 28 to 507 of the family's 1533-position model. The record is from RNAcentral.
GACGAACGCUGGCGGCGUGCUUAACACAUGCAAGUCGAACGGAAAGGCCCUGCUUUUGUGGGGUGCUCGAGUGGCGAACGGGUGAGUAACACGUGAGUAACCUGCCCUUGACUUUGGGAUAACUUCAGGAAGCUGGGGCUAAUACCGGCUAGGAGCUCCUGCUGCAUGGUGGGGGUUGGAAAGUUUCGGCGGUUGGGGAUGGACUCGCGGCUUAUCAGCUUGUUGGUGGGGUAGUGGCUUACCAAGGCUUUGACGGGUAGCCGGCCUGAGAGGGUGACCGGCCACAUUGGGACUGAGAUACGGCCCAGACUCCUACGGGAGGCAGCAGUGGGGAAGAUUGCACAAUGGGCGGAAGCCUGAUGCAGCAACGCCGCGUGCGGGAUGACGGCCUUCGGGUUGUAAACCGCUUUCGCCUGUGACGAAGCGUGAGUGACGGUAAUGGGUAAAGAAGCACCGGCUAACUACGUG